RNAcentral lists this ribosomal RNA (1296 nucleotides) under metagenome. RNAcentral describes it as "bacterial LSU rRNA". It matches the Rfam family "Bacterial large subunit ribosomal RNA", at positions 1591 to 2911 of the family's 2925-position model. The record is from RNAcentral.
UGAAUGUAAGCAGACUUCCGAGAAAAUCUUCUAAGCAUAUUGAUACGGUACCCGUACCGCAUACCGACACAGGUAGUCAAGGAGAGAAUCCUGAGGUGCUCGAGUGAGUCAUGGCUAAGGAACUAGGCAAAUUAAACCUGUAACUUCGGGAAAAGGGUUCCUCUCUUUAGCAAUAAAGAAGGUCGCAGAGAAAUGGCCCAGGCGACUGUUUAACAAAAACACAUGGCUAUGCGAAAUCGUAAGAUGAAGUAUAUGGCCUGACACCUGCCCGGUGCUGGAAGGUUAAGGGGGGAAGUUAGUCGCAAGGCGAAGCUUUGAACUGAAGCCCCAGUAAACGGCGGCCGUAACUAUAACGGUCCUAAGGUAGCGAAAUUCCUUGUCGGGUAAGUUCCGACCUGCACGAAUGGUGUAACGAUCUGGGCACUGUCUCAGCCAUGAGCUCGGUGAAAUUGUAGUCACGGAGAAGAUGCCGUGUACCCGUCACGGGACGGAAAGACCCCAUGCACCUUUACUAUAGCUUCGCAUUGACAUUGGGUAGAUGAUGUGUAGGAUAGGUGGGAGGCGUUGAUCCUGUGCCGCUAGGUAUAGGGGAGCCAACGGUGAAAUACCACCCUUUAUUUAUCUGAUGUCUAAUCCGCAAGACCUGCGGAGACAGUGCGUGGUGGGUAGUUUGACUGGUGGUCGCCUCCGAAAGUGUAUCGGAGGCUUUCAAAGGUAUGCUCAAUACGCUUGGUAACCGUAUGUGGAGUGCAAUAGCAUAAGCAUGCUUGACUGUGAGACUGACAAGUCGAGCAGGGUCGAAAGACGGAUAUAGUGAUCCGGUGGUUCUGUAUGGAAGGGCCAUCGCUCAAAGGAUAAAAGGUACGCUGGGAUAACAGGCUGAUCUCCCCCAAGAGCUCACAUCGACGGGGAGGUUUGGCACCUCGAUGUCGGCUCGUCACAUCCUGGGGCUGGAGAAGGUCCCAAGGGUUAGGCUGUUCGCCUAUUAAAGUGGCACGCGAGCUGGGCUCAGAACGUCGUGAGACAGUUCGGUCCCUAUCUGUGAUGGGCGUAGGAAGUUUGAGAGGAUCUGACCUUAGUACGAGAGGACCGGGUUGGACCAACCGCUGGUGUACCGGUUGUGGCGUCAGCUGCAUCGCCGGGUAGCUACGUUGGGACGAGAUAAGCGCUGAAAGCAUCUAAGCGCGAAACUCACCUCAAGAUGAGACUUCCAUUAAGGGACGUCAGAGACUAUGACGUUGAUAGGCUGCAGGUGUAAAGGCAGAAAUGUCAAAGCUGAGCAGUACUAAUUACCCA